CCCAUUUUAUUCAAUUCACGAAUUUUUCAUUAUGAGUCUAAUGCAUAUAUGUUUCCAUAUACAUAUAUAUCAGCAUAUAUGUAUCUAUGUACAUAUAUGCAUAGGGGUUCAUACAAGAACCUUCAAAGAAAAAAUCUAAUGCCCAACAUAAAAAUAGGAAAGACUCUUCGGAUCUAAUCAUACUAUUAGAUUCUAUUGACAAUUUUAAAAAACUAUUCAAAGUUGAUAAUACUACAAUGAUGAUUAUCAUAGUAUGAUGAUGGUCGGGUGGAUAUG
RNAcentral lists this long non-coding RNA (276 nucleotides) under Phoenix dactylifera (date palm). Its description in RNAcentral is "long non-coding RNA (PDAC_LNC001461)". Lineage: Eukaryota; Viridiplantae; Streptophyta; Magnoliopsida; Arecales; Arecaceae. The record is from RNAcentral.